GACGAACGCUGGCGGCUUGCUUAACACAUGCAAGUCGAACGGAAAGGCCCUGCUUGCAGGGUACUCGAGUGGCGAACGGGUGAGUUACACGUGGGUUAUCUGCCCUGCACUUCGGGAUAAACUUGGGGAACUUGGUCUAAUACCGGAUAGGAGCCAUCUUUAGUGUGAUGGUUGGAAAGUUUUUUCGGUGUAGGAUGAUCUCGCGGCCUCUCAGCUUGUUGUUGGGGUAAUGGGCUACCAAGGCGGCGACGGGUAGCCGGCCUGGGAGGGUGGACGGCCACAGUGGGACAGAGAUACGGCGCAGACUCCGACGGGAGGGAGAAGUGGGGAAUAUUGCACAAUGGGGGCGAGCGUGAUGCAGCGAAGCCGCGUGGGGGAUGACGGGCUUCGGGUUGUAAAAACCUUUCGCGAGGGACGAGGAGUUUUGUGAAGGUACAUAGAUAAGAAGGAACGGCUAACUAAGUG
This 465-nucleotide ribosomal RNA is filed under the name uncultured bacterium. RNAcentral describes it as "partial 16S ribosomal RNA". It matches the Rfam family "Bacterial small subunit ribosomal RNA", at positions 28 to 507 of the family's 1533-position model. The record is from RNAcentral.